Molecule: ribosomal RNA, 253 nt
Filed under: uncultured bacterium
Lineage: Bacteria
Description: partial 16S ribosomal RNA
Rfam family: Bacterial small subunit ribosomal RNA
Source: RNAcentral
UACGAAGGGUGCAAGCGUUGUUCGGAAUUACUGGGCGUAAAGGGUUCGUAGGCGGAGAGACAAGUCAAGUGUGAAAUCCCCAGGCUUAACCUGGGACGUGCAUUUGAAACUGUAUUUCUUGAGUAUCAGAGAGGGUGGUGGAAUUGCUGGUGUAGGAGUGACAUCCGUAGAGAUCAGCAGGAACACCGGAGGCGAAGGCGACCACCUGGCUGAAGACUGACGCUGAGGAACGAAAGCGUGGGGAGCAAACAGG